Long non-coding RNA from Cyprinus carpio carpio, 913 nucleotides. The record is from Ensembl. NCBI's taxonomy places the organism in Eukaryota, Metazoa, Chordata, Actinopteri, Cypriniformes, Cyprinidae.
AAAGGGAAGAAAAAGAGGGAGGAGUGAAAGUAAAGGGAUGGAAAAGAGGGAGGAGUGAAAGUAAAGGGGAAGAAAAGAGGGAGGAGCGAAAGUAAAGGGAUGGAAAAGAGGGAGGAGUGAAAGCAAAGGGGAAGAAAAGAGGGAGGAGUGAAAGUAAAGGGAUGGAAAAGAGGGGGGAGUGAAAGUAAAGGGGAAGAAAAAGAGGGAGGAGUGAAAGUAAAGGGAUGGAAAAGAGGGAGGAGUGAAAGUAAAGGGGAAGAAAAGAGGGAGGAGUGAAAGUAAAGGGAUGGAAAAGAGGGAGGAGUGAAAGUAAAGGGGAAGAAAAAAAGGGAGGAGUGUAAGUAAAGGGAUGGAAAAGAGGGGGGGAUGAAAGUAAAGGGGAAGAAAAGAGGGAGGAGUGAAAGUAAAGGGAUGGAAAAAAGGGAGUAGUGAAAGUAAAGGGGAAGAAAAGAGGGAGGAGUGAAAGUAAAGGGAUGGAAAAGAGGGAGGAGUGAAAGUAAAGGGAAGAAAAAGAGGGAGGAGUGAAAGUAAAGGGAUGGAAAAGAGGGGGAGUGAAAGUAAAGGGAUGGAAAAGAGGGAGGAGCGAAAGUAAAGGGGAAGAAAAGAGGGAGGAGUGAAAGUAAAGGGAUGGAAAAGAGGGAGGAGUGAAAGUAAAGGGAUGGAAAAGAGGGAGGAGUGAAAGUAAAGGGGAAGAAAAGAGGGAGGAGUGAAAGUAAAGGGAUGCAAAAGAGGGAGGAUUGAAGAAAAGAGGGGAACAUGUGAGAAUUGAUGUAUAGAGGUAUUGGGAAGGAUUGUUGGGCAUCAUUUCCAAGUUCCUUGAGUUCUACAGUUCUACGUACUCACUCUGGUGUUCAUUGUACUGAUCUGAAAAGGAACACAACUAGAAACACAAGUUGAAACACAACUAGAAGGC